UGGGGCUCCUUUUCUUCCGGUGAUUUCGGUUUGUGUCUAUCCGGCGCCAUCGCGCUUUCCAUGAGGCCGAGCGUGAAAAUCUGGAACAGGGAGAGGCAGAAUCAGAACGCUCUACGGGAGAGUGAUAGAGGAGCUGUUGGCGUGGUUGGCGACAUGUCUGUGAUUCCAGAGGAGCCGGAGGAUGCACCGAUUGUUAAUCCAGCGAGCCUUGCCGCGGUGGGAGAAAUGAGGGAAAUCGGGUAAGGUUGCCUUUGACUUCACGAUGUAGCCCUGGCUUGCCUCGAACUCGUGGCGAUCCUUACAGCCUCAGCCUCCCAAGUGCUGGGAUUAUAGUUGUGCGCCACCACGCCGGGCAAAAAACUAUUUCUAUAUGUACCAUCAAGUAUGAAUUACACUUUUGAAGAUGCUGGGAAAAGAUGUGGAACUUGGAAGAUAAUUCUUUAAAAUAUGCAGGAAAGGGUUCUCUAUGUUGGAGUUUGUGUGUCUAUGUGUUUGAUGUUGAGACAGGGUCUUGCUAUGAGAUCAAGGCUGGCCCUAAUCUCACUGUAACUCAUGCUGGCCUCAAACUCUCGGAGCUCUUCCUGCCUCAGUCUCCUAAAUGCUGGGAUUAUAGUUACCACCUAAAAUGUUUGAAUCAGAAGACAGUACUGAUGAAGAACUGUUAAUUAAUGAAUCAGGAAGUCAUAGUGAACCUGAAGAUGAUUUUUCAGAAUUAUCAGAGGAGUUUCAUUCAGAGACUGAAGCUUCACACCAUUCAGAGAAUUUGUUGAGGUUAAUUUGGAAAAUCCAAUCCCUACUCUGCCUAAGUUUCUGUGCACCAGUACACCUAGUAUAAAUUUGUCAUUUAGACAUGAUACGGAGCCAGAUAGUUUAAAUUACUUCGAAUAUUUCUAGAAUUCUAAAAUAAUGUAGUUGACUACAAUAGAAACCAACAUGCAGAUCAAAGCCUUCUGGGAUUUUAGAGAAAUUUUUACACUUGGACUCAAAACGAACAGGUAAUACAGAUUUUUUUUUUUUUUUUGCUCUCCAUAGUCUGUAAGGAAUUAUAUGUAAGCCAAUACGUGAGUGGUAUUGGUCUGAGAAAGAUUGCAUUGAAACACCUUUUUUUCAGUGAAGUGAUGUCGUAAAUGUUUUACUUUAUUGAAACAUAUUAUAUUCAUUUUGUAGAUAACUCAGUGCUACUCGAAUCUUUAAGUUAUGGCCAACUGUUGAACAUCUCAAUAAAAAGUUUUCUACUGCACUUACACUUGAGAGAGAUUAUCACAACUGGUGAAAGUUUAAUGCUACAUAAGGGUCAAUUUGAAUGGAUUCAGUUUAUCCCUCUAAAAAGAGCUACAUUUGGUACCAAAUCUUACAUGUUCUGUGAAUCCAAAUCUGGAUAUGUGGUCUUAAUUUACACUGGAAAGUGCACAGUACUUGAUAACAUCUAUAAAGAUUGUUACAUGGGUACACAAAUUGUUUUGACUCUUGAUGAAACCACUUUUCAACAUGGGACAUUGUCUUAUUACAGACAAUUUUUAUACUUCUCCAGGACUCUGAUACUAUUUUACAAUACAAGAUGGACAUGUUUGGGACACUGAGUCUGAAUAGGAAAGAAGUGCCGAGAGAUUGUUCCAAUUUUAGUAUAUGUGCUGCUGAAACAAGCACUAGUGCCAAAAGACCUGCAAAAGAAAAAAACUGAAAAAGGGAGAAAUGUUAGCCCAUCAGAGAGGAAAACUUAUGCAAUGAAAAGACAUUUCCUUGUCAGCUAUUCAUAAUACAGAAAUGAUAGAUCUUUAAAGAAACAAAACUUUAAGGAUUCUAAUAAUGGUCAAUGGUUAUAAUUUGAUUACAACCUUUUUUUUUUUUUGUCUUUUCGGUACUGGAGAUCGAACUCUGGUCCUUGCUCUUGCGGGACAGGUGGCAGAAUCACUGAACUAAAUCCCCGGCAGUGAUUAUAAUAAUUCUAUGAAUGGUAUUGACAGAGGUGACCAACAUUUAACAAGUUAUCCUGUCAUUUACAAUUGAGAUUAGGUCUGGUAGACCAAAUAAUUGAAAAAUACAGAAGCAUUGGGAGGCUAUUGCUGCAUUAGAAGAAAGUGCUAAUUACAAAGAAACUGAAAAUGAACAUUAUGCUUCAAGUAAAAGUUGGUUUCAUCCUUUCAAAAGGCACCAUGAAUUGGUUGAUGUGAAGCUGUUUGAAACAGCAAGCUUAGAUGAAGAUGAUACUGUGAAAUUGGCAUCCAUAUUGUAAGAUAACAGUGUCCUUGGAUUGCACAGCAGGGUAAGACCCAACUGCAAAAAACAAGCAGGGUUCAGAUCAGUGGUACCAAAAUAGAGUUGACUUGGGGUUUUAGGACUGCUGCUACAUAAGAGGCAAUUGUACAGCCAGAGCUUAGUGAAGGCAAACCUACUGGCAUGAGAAGGCUUUCCAACAUAAAAGAUGACUGCCUCAGAGGAAGAGAUGCUAGCAAAAGCCUUCACAUUAAAAGAACUCAGUUAAUUUCAAGACAGUAAAAGUGCAAAGGAUAAAAUUUUGGUAGCUGAUCCAAAUUUAGGAGUAGGACAAUCGCCACAGUAUAGAAAUGACACUCCCUAUUUUAAGUAAUACAACAGGAAGGUAGGUCCAGUUCAAGCCACUUGAAUGAUGAACGAGUAUGGAUAAAAUUUUCAGUGUUUCUAAUAUUUUAAAUUACAGCAUACUAAAAAUACUAGCCUUGUGUUAUUACAAAGCUAGAUUUCUUUUUAACAACAGCAAGAGUUACAUUUUUGACUGGAAUCUCCCCCCCAGCCCCAAUUGGGACUCAAAUUGGGAACUCUACCACUAAGUUACAUCCCCAACCCUUUAUUUUUUAUGUUUAGAGAAGGUCUCGCUAAUUUGCCUAGGCUGUCCCUGAACUUGUGAUCCUCCUUAGUAACGAAUUAAAAGGUAUGCAGCACCACUGUGGCUAGUUUUGACAAACUUUAAGGUCCAUGAAUCCCACAUUUCCUCAUAGGUUAAGAUUGUAAUGUAGCUUCAGCUUCCAUGGUCAAAGCCAGUACAAGCUAGAGAACCUUAUUAUUCAAACAGGUCAGAUCGACAAAUGUGUUUGGUAAUCGUUACUUUUCAUAUUCUUGUAUGCUGCUAUAUCAAAGCUUUGAAAUAAAAAUUUAAUACUGAAUUUCUCAUAUUUGGACUUAAAUUGUAGGCCAAAAAUUAUUGAGAUUGACAGAUUUUUCCUGUAAAGGGCCCUUUGAAGGCCAUAUGAUCUCUGGUGCAGCUAAUCAGUUUGGCUUUCAUAGCCAAAGCAGACAGUAAAUAACCACUGAAUGUGAAUGUGUUCCAAUAAAAUUUUAUUUAGGGACACAAAUUUGAAUUUCAGUUUUUCUUUUCAGUUUUUUCCCCCAAUCAUUUAUUCACAGGCCCUGGGGGUUGGGAGGUGUGGAGUUUGCUGAUUUGUUUAAAUUAUUGUGGUGGGGGGAGAGUUGAAGGUCUUUGCCCUUCUGGGCUAAAGCCAUGUAAUUCAGGCCAGCCUCAAACCUUUUGCCUCAGCCUUCAGCUGGUACUACAGAAACGCACCACCACUCCCUGCGGCCCUAAGGAAUCUUCCAGAUCUGUGUACUGCUUCCAAGUACCAGGGAGUAUUUGGGAUGGACGGUAGGAAGAGUUCAGUUUAACAUCUCUAGUCAAAUGAUGCACACCCCCUUUUAAAUCAGUGUUUUAUUGGCACCUAGUUUAUAGGUAAACUAAUCUUGCACACAUAAAAUGGGAAGAAAGUUUUAUCCAUUUAAGGUGAAUAUUUUAUGCGUCAAGCAUGAAAGAUACACACAAUAUAGGAAUGUAUCAUUCACCUUUCACAGUUUACAGUAAUCCUAAUCAAAAUGCCUGGAGCCACAAGAAACCCUUUUUCACCCUCUGCUAAAAAGCAUUAAAAUUGAAUUAAACCUCAAAUGAAAAAUGCACAGACUGAGCGUUUAGUUCUUUGUUUCAGAUGUCUGGACAAGGCAUCUACAUUCUAGAUCCUCUUAGCCACUAAACGUGAAAGACUACUUACAUAUGUAAAGACAAGCCGAAAAGGUCAAGAUUGUCUAACAGGGGACCCCAAGUUAUUUUACGUAAGUGUCAGCGUUGCUCCCAAAGCGUUUUAGAACGCACUAGCAAUUAUCCACUGUAAUUUGCUUGAACCGACUGUCUCUUUCAAAUCUAUAGAAAUAAACUUGCUGUUUAAACUGAACCAUGCAUGUAUGACCAGAAAGAGUAUUGGGAAAUUUUGAGUACAGAAAUCUUUCUACUUCAGUACUUAGGAGUCUGGCCAUAUAUUUUAUUUUUGUGUAAAGAAACAUUACUUGCAGUUAAGGUGGCUAGGAAAGAAAGGUUUUAGGGAAGAGAUGGUUGGGUCAUAGUUGUAGAUAACUUAAGUGGUCGAUCUACAAGAGCACCUCGUUUAUCAAGUGUGUCUGCAAUAGCCUUUGAUGUCACAGAAGUUCUCAAUACGCCAAACUACG
RNAcentral lists this long non-coding RNA (4464 nucleotides) under Heterocephalus glaber (naked mole-rat). RNAcentral's name for it is "lncRNA (ENSHGLG00000033031.1)". The record is from RNAcentral. Lineage: Eukaryota; Metazoa; Chordata; Mammalia; Rodentia; Bathyergidae.